This 450-nucleotide ribosomal RNA is filed under the name uncultured bacterium. RNAcentral describes it as "partial 16S ribosomal RNA". It matches the Rfam family "Bacterial small subunit ribosomal RNA", at positions 329 to 794 of the family's 1533-position model. The record is from RNAcentral.
GCCCAGACUCCUACGGGAGGCAGCAGUGGGGGAUAUUGCACAAUGGGGGAAACCCUGAUGCAGCGACGCCGCGUGGGCGAAGAAGUAUUUCGGUAUGUAAAGCCCUAUCAGCAGGGAAGAAGAAAUGACGGUACCUGAGUAAGAAGCACCGGCUAAAUACGUGCCAGCAGCCGCGGUAAUACGUAUGGUGCAAGCGUUAUCCGGAUUUACUGGGUGUAAAGGGGGCGCAGACGGCGAUGCAAGCCAGGAGUGAAAGCCCGGGGCCCAACCCCGGGACUGCUCUUGGAACUGCGUGGCUGGAGUGCAGGAGGGGCAGGCGGAAUUCCUGGUGUAGCGGUGAAAUGCGUAGAUAUCAGGAGGAACACCAGUGGCGAAGGCGGCCUGCUGGACAUUAACUGACGCUGAGGCGCGAAAGCGUGGGGAGCAAACAGGAUUAGAUACCCGCGUAGA